Molecule: long non-coding RNA, 1146 nt
Filed under: Equus asinus (donkey)
Lineage: Eukaryota; Metazoa; Chordata; Mammalia; Perissodactyla; Equidae
Description: lncRNA (ENSEASG00005027319.1)
Source: RNAcentral
GCCGAGGGACCUUGCGCGUGCGCAGAGGCGUCCCAGUGCGCCGGCCCGCCUCCCCCACCCCCUUGUGGGGGCGCCCGUCUGGAAGUGGGCGGAGUGCGGGCUGUGAUUAAUGCCUGGCCUAUAGAAGGCAGCGAGUUAAUCUUCCUCGCGCCCGUAAGUAGCAGGCCGCAGGCGUUAGGCGACGCUUUCCUUCCCAGCCCGGGCCCACGGCGGGUGUAGCACUGCGGAGGAGGAGGAGGAGAAGGAGGAGAAGGAGGAGGGAGAGGCAAGGCCCAGGCAGAAAGGUCGCGUCAGCGCGGUGCCGAGCCUGUCCGCCCCCGCGGGACGGCGAAACACAUGAGAGAGACUGUCAGUGGUACCGAUUCCACCUCACUCGGGCGGGAAUCACACCCACACUCGGAGGGGCUCCGAGGAGGGGCCCGUGGGUGGGCGUCCUACGCACAACCCGUCCCUUCCUCGGUGGGUUCUUAACUGGUGUCGCGAAUUUGAAACGAAACCGAAGCUGAGCGUUCAACAGCACAAGCUUUAGUCUUUAUUCGAUGGCCAAGGAAUGGAGAAGCGGGAACUUGAGUUCACAAAUCAACUUCUCAGCUCCUGGGUUCUAGAGGCUGGAAGUCUGUGAACAGGGAGCCAGCAUGGAGGUAGUCAGCCGGAGAUUCUUUUAGAACCUACCUGGCCUUUGUUAGACAAGAGAAAAAUCCUUCAAGGCUCCAGUCUGACAAAAAUCAGAAUCAAAGUGAAAAGGUUUAGAGAGGAAGAAAAAGACCAGCAUUCUCUUGGAAAAUCAGGGGAAGCCGAGGCCUGCAUGUCGAGGAAUCUCACAGAAGCUUGGAUCUGGAGUGAGCUCUGAGAGGAACAUCUAGUUGUGGGAGAUUACCAGUACAAAUGGCUGCCUAGCCUAGGGGACAUUUGUGUAUUCUUUACCUGCGCACUCUUCUGCCAUUGCUUCCCUGGGAACGAUGGACUUGUUAAAGUCUGAUAAAACUAUUAAGAAAAAAUUAAAAAUAGGCUUCUAAACCACUGACUGGAGUCACUGAUUGCAAUGACAUGUAGGUGGGUCUUCACAUUUUUACCAUCUGCCCUUCUAUGUAUUAUACAGUCAUACCCCAAGCCAUCUUUCCUUCAGUUCCAGUUCUUAUCUAUCAG